GCGCGCAAAUUACCCAAUCCUGACACGGGGAGGUAGUGACAAUAAAUAACAAUACCGGGCGCGUUAGUGUCUGGUAAUUGGAAUGAGUACAAUCUAAAUCCCUCAACGAGGAUCCAUUGGAGGGCAAGUCUGGUGCUAG
Molecule: ribosomal RNA, 139 nt
Filed under: uncultured bacterium
Lineage: Bacteria
Description: partial 16S rRNA
Rfam family: Eukaryotic small subunit ribosomal RNA
Source: RNAcentral